Small nucleolar RNA from Quercus lobata, 139 nucleotides. RefSeq annotates it as small nucleolar RNA Z247. The transcript has a single exon. NCBI's taxonomy places the organism in Eukaryota, Viridiplantae, Streptophyta, Magnoliopsida, Fagales, Fagaceae. The record is from RefSeq and is a predicted model, not a curated record.
GCACUUGAAUGAUUUUGAAAUCGUCUCUUUUCUUCUCGCUAGUCUUGGAUCAGACUAUGAUUCAGUUAUCACAUUAGUGAUUGCAGGGGUUGAUCCUCUAUCCAUUGAGGACUUGUAUGGGCAUUUAUUAGCUUCGACU